RNAcentral lists this transfer RNA (76 nucleotides) under Actinomycetes bacterium. RNAcentral describes it as "Actinobacteria bacterium tRNA-Thr". It matches the Rfam family "tRNA". From Rfam's summary of the family: Transfer RNA (tRNA) molecules are approximately 80 nucleotides in length. The record is from RNAcentral. Lineage: Bacteria; Bacillati; Actinomycetota; Actinomycetes.
GCCCUCUUAGCUCAGUCGGUAGAGCACAGCCAUGGUAAGGCUGGUGUCGUGGGUUCAAUUCCCACAGAGGGCUCCG